RNAcentral lists this ribosomal RNA (519 nucleotides) under bacterium T-1-0-12H. Its description in RNAcentral is "bacterial SSU rRNA". It matches the Rfam family "Bacterial small subunit ribosomal RNA", at positions 447 to 957 of the family's 1533-position model. The record is from RNAcentral.
GUACCUUAGUUAAUACCUAAGAGUAUCGGACGUUACUCGCAGAAUAAGCACCGGCUAACUCUGUGCCAGCAGCCGCGGUAUAUACAGAGGGUGCAAGCGUUAAUCGGAUUUACGUGGGCGAUAAAGCGUGCNANNGGCGGCUAAUUAAGUCGGAUGUGAAAUCCCCGAGCUCAACUUGGGAAUUGCAUGCGAUACUGGUUAGCUAGAGUAUGGGAGAGGAUGGUAGAAUGCCAGGUGUAGCGGUGAAAUGCGUAGAGAUCUGGAGGAAUACCGAUGGCGAAGGCAGCCAUCUGGCCUAAUACUGACGCUGAGGUACGAAAGCAUGGGGAGCAAACAGGAUUAGAUACCCUGGUAGUCCAUGCCGUAAACGAUGUCUACUAGCCGUUGGGGCCUUUGAGGCUUUAGUGGCGCAGCUAACGCGAUAAGUAGACCGCCUGGGGAGUACGGUCGCAAGACUANNACUCAAAUGAAUUGACGGGGGCCCGCACAAGCGNUGGAGCAUGUGGUUUAAUUCGAUGC